RNAcentral lists this ribosomal RNA (509 nucleotides) under uncultured bacterium. Its description in RNAcentral is "partial 16S ribosomal RNA". It matches the Rfam family "Bacterial small subunit ribosomal RNA", at positions 28 to 523 of the family's 1533-position model. The record is from RNAcentral.
GACGAACGCUGGCGGUGUGCUUAACACAUGCAAGUGGAGCGACGAACCAGAGCUUGCUCUGGGGCAGAGCCGCGAACGGGUGAGUAACACGUGGGUAACCUACCCUGAUGACUGGGACAACCCGAGGAAACUCGGGCUAAUACCGGAUGUGCUCUCCUCUCACGAGAGAGGCGAGUAAAGGAAGCUUCGGCCUCCGCAUCAGGAGGGGCCCGCGGCCCAUUAGUUUGGUGGUGGGGUAACGGCCUACCAAGACUGCGAUGGGUAGCUGGUCAGAGAGGACGAUCAGCCACAUUGGGACUGAGACACGGCCGAGACUCCUACGGGAGGCAGCAGUGGGGAAUCUUGCGCAAUGCGCGACAGCGGGACGCAGCAACAUCGCGUGGGGGAAGAAGGCCUUCGGGUUGUAAACCCCUUUCAGGAGGGACGAAGGCCGGCCGGUGAAUAGCCGUGCCGGUUGACGGUACCUCCACAAGAAGCCCCGGCUAACUACGUGCCAGCCGCCGCGGUAA